Molecule: transfer RNA, 82 nt
Filed under: Rhizobium sp. PP-CC-2G-626
Lineage: Bacteria; Pseudomonadati; Pseudomonadota; Alphaproteobacteria; Hyphomicrobiales; Rhizobiaceae
Also listed under: 3 other names
Description: tRNA-Leu
Rfam family: tRNA
About the family: Transfer RNA (tRNA) molecules are approximately 80 nucleotides in length. Their secondary structure includes four short double-helical elements and three loops (D, anti-codon, and T loops).
Source: RNAcentral
GCGGACGUGGCGAAAUUGGUAGACGCAAGAGACUUAAAAUCUCUCGAGGAGACUUGUACGGGUUCGACCCCCGUCGUCCGCA